RNAcentral lists this ribosomal RNA (479 nucleotides) under uncultured bacterium. RNAcentral's name for it is "bacterial SSU rRNA". It matches the Rfam family "Bacterial small subunit ribosomal RNA", at positions 30 to 504 of the family's 1533-position model. The record is from RNAcentral.
CGAACGCUGGCGGCGUGCUUAACACAUGCAAGUCGAACGGUAACAGGGACUUCGGUCCGCUGACGAGUGGCGCACGGGUGAGUAACACGUGGGUAUCUACCUUUUAGUGGGGGACAACUUGGAGAAAUCCAAGCUAAUACCGCAUACGCUCUACGGAGGAAAGUGGGGGAUCUUCGGACCUCACGCUAAAAGAUGGGCCCGCGCCUGAUUAGCUAGUUGGUAAGGUAAUGGCUUACCAAGGCGAUGAUCAGUAUCUGGUUUGAGAGGAUGAUCAGACACACUGGAACUGAGACACGGUCCAGACUUCUACGGAAGGCAGCAGUGGGGAAUAUUGCACAAUGGGGGAAACCCUGAUGCAGCGACGCCGCGUGCGGGAAGAAGGCCUUAGGGUUGUAAACCGCUUUCAGUUGGGAAGAAGGAAUGAGAGUUAAUAGCUCUUUGACUUGACGGUACCAACAGAAGAAGCACCGGCUAAUUUC